UUUAGGGUAUAGGGUUUGGGUUUAGGGGUUUGAAUUUGGGUUUAGAAUUUAGGGUAUAGGGUUUAGAAUUUAAGAUUUAGGGUUUAGGGUUCCGCUGGAAUCAUUAACGUCGUUAAAAUUGGCGUUUUUAUUUUUUGUAGCUAUUUUUUAUUUAGUUUAAUGUUUUUUAAUUAAUAAUUUAUGUGUCACUUUGAUUGGUCCUAAAAAGUGGGGU
This 214-nucleotide long non-coding RNA is filed under the name Brassica napus (rape). Its description in RNAcentral is "long non-coding RNA (BNAP_LNC011148)". Lineage: Eukaryota; Viridiplantae; Streptophyta; Magnoliopsida; Brassicales; Brassicaceae. The record is from RNAcentral.